GACGAACGCUGGCGGCGUGCUUAACACAUGCAAGUCGAACGGAAAGGCCCUGCUUUUGUGGGGUGCUCGAGUGGCGAACGGGUGAGUAACACGUGAGUAACCUGCCCUUGACUUUGGGAUAACUUCAGGAAACUGGGGCUAAUACCGGAUAGGAGCUCCUGCUGCAUGGUGGGGGUUGGAAAGUUUCGGCGGUUGGGGAUGGACUCGCGGCUUAUCAGCUUGUUGGUGGGGUAGUGGCUUACCAAGGCUUUGACGGGUAGCCGGCCUGAGAGGGUGACCGGCCACAUUGGGACUAAGAGACGGACCAGACUCCUACGGGAGGCAGCAGUGGGGAAUAUUGCACAAUGGGCGGGAGCCUGAUGCAGCAACGCCGCGUGCGGGAUGACGGCCUUCGGGUUGUAAACCGCUUUCGCCUGUGACGAAGCGUGAGUGACGGUAAUGGGUAAAGAAGCACCGGCUAACUACGUG
RNAcentral lists this ribosomal RNA (468 nucleotides) under uncultured bacterium. RNAcentral's name for it is "partial 16S ribosomal RNA". It matches the Rfam family "Bacterial small subunit ribosomal RNA", at positions 28 to 507 of the family's 1533-position model. The record is from RNAcentral.